Molecule: ribosomal RNA, 370 nt
Filed under: Nitrososphaerota archaeon
Lineage: Archaea; Thermoproteati; Nitrososphaerota
Description: bacterial SSU rRNA
Rfam family: Archaeal small subunit ribosomal RNA
Source: RNAcentral
ACUCCGGUUGAUCCUGCCGGACCCGACUGCUAUCGGAAUGGGAUUUAGCCAUGUUAGUCGUACGUUCCUCGAGUGCGGGGGACGCGGCGCACGGCUCAGUAACACGUAGUCAACCUGCCCUGGAGAUGCGGAUAAACCCGGGAAACUGGGGCUAAUAUGCGAUAGGUCACAACAUCUGGAAGGAGUGGUGGCCGAAAGGGGCGGCGUGGGCAUCUUCCACGUCGUCCGUUCCAGGAUGGGACUGCGGCCGAUCAGGCUGUUGGCGGGGUAAUGGCCCACCAAACCUGUAACCGGUACGGGCUUUGAGAGAAGGAGCCCGGAGAUGGACACUGAGACAAGGGUCCAGGCCCUACGGGGCGCAUCAGGCGCG